Molecule: unclassified non-coding RNA, 329 nt
Filed under: Hevea brasiliensis (rubber tree)
Lineage: Eukaryota; Viridiplantae; Streptophyta; Magnoliopsida; Malpighiales; Euphorbiaceae
Source: RNAcentral
AAUUAACAGAAGAGCUUAGAAAAAUUGAGUUAAUAACGGAAUUAAGUACCAGCAAUGGUGCAAAGAAGCCAAGAUGGACUGAAGCUUCUCCAUUUGGUUUGAUUUGAAGAAGCCACUGAAACAAGACUUCGGGGCUCAUCACCUUUUUCCGCUGUCUUCACUUUUACUUUCAUACCAUCAGGCAAAAUAGGGCCUGAACUUCGCAUCUCAGAUAAAUUCUUUAGCCUGUUUUGAGUCUUGGCAGCCAGGUCCUUACUGAGAUAGUUGAUAAUGAAGUUGUCUCUGGUUAUGCUCACCUUGGAUUGCAUCACAUUUAGGUGACACCACAG